This 46-nucleotide non-coding RNA is filed under the name Schistosoma mattheei. The record is from RNAcentral. Lineage: Eukaryota; Metazoa; Platyhelminthes; Trematoda; Strigeidida; Schistosomatidae.
AUCCAGCUGAUGAGUCCUAAAUAGGACGAAUGCGCGCGUCCUGGAA